CCUGGCGUCAAUAUCGCGGUGUACCCACCUGACCCCAUGCCGAACUCAGAAGUGAAACGCCGUAGCGCCGAUGGUAGUGUGGGGUCUCCCCAUGCGAGAGUAGGGAACUGCCAGGC
This 116-nucleotide ribosomal RNA is filed under the name Salmonella enterica subsp. enterica serovar Enteritidis. Lineage: Bacteria; Pseudomonadati; Pseudomonadota; Gammaproteobacteria; Enterobacterales; Enterobacteriaceae. The record is from RNAcentral.